UACGUAUGGUGCAAGCGUUAUCCGGAUUUACUGGGCGUAAAGGGAGCGCAGGCGGCGCGCCAAGUCUGAUGUGAAACCCCGGGGCUCAACCCCGGGCAUGCAUUGGAAACUGGCGGGCUGGAGUGCCGGAGAGGUAAGCGGAAUUCCUAGUGUAGCGGUGAAAUGCGUAGAUAUUAGGAGGAACACCAGUGGCGAAGGCGGCUAACUGGACGGCAACUGACGCUGAGGCUCGAAAGCGUGGGGAGCAAACAGG
Molecule: ribosomal RNA, 253 nt
Filed under: uncultured bacterium
Lineage: Bacteria
Description: partial 16S ribosomal RNA
Rfam family: Bacterial small subunit ribosomal RNA
Source: RNAcentral